UACGUAGGGUGCGAGCGUUGUCCGGAAUUAUUGGGCGUAAAGAGCUUGUAGGCGGUUUGUCGCGUCUGCCGUGAAAAUUCGAGGCUCAACCUCGAACUUGCGGUGGGUACGGGCAGACUAGAGUGUGGUAGGGGAGACUGGAAUUCCUGGUGUAGCGGUGAAAUGCGCAGAUAUCAGGAGGAACACCAAUUGCGAAGGCAGCUCGCUGGGACAUUACUGACGCUGAGACGCGAAAGCGUGGGGAGCAAACAGG
Molecule: ribosomal RNA, 253 nt
Filed under: uncultured bacterium
Lineage: Bacteria
Description: partial 16S ribosomal RNA
Rfam family: Bacterial small subunit ribosomal RNA
Source: RNAcentral